GUCCACGCCGUAAACGAUGGAUACUAGCUGUUGUGCGCAAGUUCAGUGGCUAAGCGAAAGUGAUAAGUAUCCCACCUGGGGAGUACGUUCGCAAGAAUGAAAACUCAAAAGGAAUUGACGGGGGCCCGCACAAGCGGUGGAGCAUGUGGUUUAAUUCGAUGAUACGCGAGGAACCUUACCAAGGCUUAAAUGUAGAUUGACCGAUUUGGAAACAGAUCUUCGCAAGACAAUUUACAAGGUGCUGCAUGGUUGUCGU
This 256-nucleotide ribosomal RNA is filed under the name uncultured bacterium. RNAcentral's name for it is "partial 16S ribosomal RNA". It matches the Rfam family "Bacterial small subunit ribosomal RNA", at positions 793 to 1055 of the family's 1533-position model. The record is from RNAcentral.